GAUGAACGCUAGCGGGAGGCCUAAUACAUGCAAGUCGAACGGUAAAUGGUAGCAAUACUAUGAGAGUGGCGUACGGGUGCGUAACGCGUACACAACCUGCCUUGUACUGGGGGAUAGCCUCGGGAAACUGAGAUUAAUACCCCAUAAUUUUACGAUGUGGCAUCACAUUGUAAUUAAAGCUCCGGCGGUACAAGAUGGGUGUGCGUCCGAUUAGGUAGUUGGUGAGGUAACGGCUCACCAAGCCGACGAUCGGUAGCGAGUCUGAGAGGACGGUCAGCCAAACGGGCACUGAGACACGGGCCCGACUCCUACGGGAGGCAGCAGUAGGGAAUAUUGGACAAUGGACGCAAGUCUGAUCCAGCCAUCCCGCGUGAAGGAUUAAGGCCCUCUGGGUUGUAAACUUCUUUUCUUUGGGAAUAAAAAGCGGUAUUCAUAUCGCCUUGAAGGUACCAGGGGAAUAAGCACCGGCUAACUCCGUGCCAGCCGCCGCGGUAA
Molecule: ribosomal RNA, 495 nt
Filed under: uncultured bacterium
Lineage: Bacteria
Description: partial 16S ribosomal RNA
Rfam family: Bacterial small subunit ribosomal RNA
Source: RNAcentral